UGAGGAAUAUUGGACAAUGGAUGGAAAUCUGAUCCAGCCAUGCCGCGUGCAGGAAGACGGCCCUAUGGGUUGUAAACUGCUUUUGUAUGGGAGCAAUAAGGACUACGUGUAGUUUGAUGAGAGUACCAUACGAAUAAGCAUCGGCUAACUCCGUGCCAGCAGCCGCGGUAAUACGGAGGAUGCGAGCGUUAUCCGGAUUUAUUGGGUUUAAAGGGUGCGUAGGCGGCGAUAUAAGUCAGUGGUGAAAUAUUUCGGCUUAACCGAGAGACUGCCAUUGAUACUGUGUUGCUAGAAUAUGGUUGCUGUGAGUGGAAUGUGUGGUGUUGCGGUGAAAUGCUUAGAUAUCACACAGAAUAUCGAUUGCGAAGGCAGCUCACAAAGCCAUUAUUGACGCUGAGGCACGAAAGUGCGGGGAUCAAACA
Molecule: ribosomal RNA, 422 nt
Filed under: uncultured bacterium
Lineage: Bacteria
Description: bacterial SSU rRNA
Rfam family: Bacterial small subunit ribosomal RNA
Source: RNAcentral